This 228-nucleotide unclassified non-coding RNA is filed under the name Hevea brasiliensis (rubber tree). Lineage: Eukaryota; Viridiplantae; Streptophyta; Magnoliopsida; Malpighiales; Euphorbiaceae. The record is from RNAcentral.
GCUCCGGCGCCGCCAUCGUCCCGAGGCAUUGGAUUGGUGGUGAAGAUGGCGAAGAGAGAGGAGGAGCUGAAGGAGAUCCGGAUGAAGACGACGGAGGAGAUAAACGAAGAGAUUGUCGACCUCAAGGGGGAGCUCCUGAUGCUCCGUCUGCAGCGCUCCGCCCGCAACGAGUUCAAGUCCAGCGAGUUCGGACGCAUGCGCAAAAGGGUUGCGCGCAUGCUGACUGUU